GGGUCUGUAGCUUAACUGGGAAAGCGUCUACCUUGCAAGUAGAAAGAUGUGGGUUCGAUUCCCAUCAGUAUCCA
This 74-nucleotide transfer RNA is filed under the name Aliterella atlantica CENA595. RNAcentral describes it as "tRNA-Ala". It matches the Rfam family "tRNA". Rfam says of the family: Transfer RNA (tRNA) molecules are approximately 80 nucleotides in length. Their secondary structure includes four short double-helical elements and three loops (D, anti-codon, and T loops). Lineage: Bacteria; Bacillati; Cyanobacteriota; Cyanophyceae; Chroococcidiopsidales; Aliterellaceae. RNAcentral also lists the same sequence under 1 other name. The record is from RNAcentral.